This 208-nucleotide ribosomal RNA is filed under the name uncultured bacterium. Its description in RNAcentral is "partial 16S ribosomal RNA". It matches the Rfam family "Bacterial small subunit ribosomal RNA", at positions 524 to 726 of the family's 1533-position model. The record is from RNAcentral.
UACGUAGGGUGCGAGCGUUAAUCGGAAUUACUGGGCGUAAAGCGUGCGCAGGCGGUCUGUUAAGACCGAUGUGAAAUCCCCGGGCUUAACCUGGGAACUGCGUUUGAAACUACAAGGCUAGAGUGUGGCAGAGGGGGGGUGGAAUUCCGACGUGUAGCAGUGGAAAUGCGUAGAGAUGUGGAGGAACACCGGAUGGCGCAAGGCAGCC